This 530-nucleotide ribosomal RNA is filed under the name Streptomyces albus J1074. Its description in RNAcentral is "bacterial SSU rRNA". It matches the Rfam family "Bacterial small subunit ribosomal RNA", at positions 31 to 576 of the family's 1533-position model. The record is from RNAcentral. Lineage: Bacteria; Bacillati; Actinomycetota; Actinomycetes; Kitasatosporales; Streptomycetaceae.
GAACGCUGGCGGCGUGCUUAACACAUGCAAGUCGAACGAUGAACCGCUUUCGGGCGGGGAUUAGUGGCGAACGGGUGAGUAACACGUGGGCAAUCUGCCCUGCACUCUGGGACAAGCCCUGGAAACGGGGUCUAAUACCGGAUAUGACUGUCCAUCGCAUGGUGGAUGGUGUAAAGCUCCGGCGGUGCAGGAUGAGCCCGCGGCCUAUCAGCUUGUUGGUGAGGUAGUGGCUCACCAAGGCGACGACGGGUAGCCGGCCUGAGAGGGCGACCGGCCACACUGGGACUGAGACACGGCCCAGACUCCUACGGGAGGCAGCAGUGGGGAAUAUUGCACAAUGGGCGAAAGCCUGAUGCAGCGACGCCGCGUGAGGGAUGACGGCCUUCGGGUUGUAAACCUCUUUCAGCAGGGAAGAAGCGAAAGUGACGGUACCUGCAGAAGAAGCGCCGGCUAACUACGUGCCAGCAGCCGCGGUAAUACGUAGGGCGCAAGCGUUGUCCGGAAUUAUUGGGCGUAAAGAGCUCGUAGGC